UAGGAAACUUUAAAACGAAGCCUGGCCUUCUUUUGUGAAUAGCAUAAUAAAGCAGAAAUUGAAAGGCCGAUGUUGAUUGGUUUCUAAAAUAAGUAAAUUCGUGCGUAAAAUAAAUUUUCAAAUAUAUCACUGGACUAUUAGCAAUCAUUGUUGUUUGGCCAAGCUUCGUCAACAAUGACGUAAUAAACAUAUUUAACAGUAGUGAGUGGACAGUUUAUUUGUCUUCAAAUUAUCCGAUCUAAUUAUUUUGUAAUUACAUGUAUUACGGUUAUGUUUCUGAUUUUCCUUUUUUUUUUUACAAUGCCCCAAUAUGUUUUCAUAACCUCAUUUAUGUUUUGCUUCAUUUAUAUGCAUACUGCAUAAUUUUGUAUAUAAAUAAUGCUAUUAAAUGCUGCCAAUUGUUAAGUUUAUGCAGCAAAAAUGCUGAUGUCUAUUUAAUGAUACUACAUCCUAAUUAGUCCCUCUUUUGUUGCCGGCAACUAUUACGUAAAAGACAAUUAAUUAAGCAGAACUGUAAAACGUUU
Molecule: non-coding RNA, 524 nt
Organism: Biomphalaria pfeifferi
Lineage: Eukaryota; Metazoa; Mollusca; Gastropoda; Planorbidae
Source: the annotation of a GenBank genome assembly